RNAcentral lists this unclassified non-coding RNA (1701 nucleotides) under Hevea brasiliensis (rubber tree). Lineage: Eukaryota; Viridiplantae; Streptophyta; Magnoliopsida; Malpighiales; Euphorbiaceae. The record is from RNAcentral.
AAAAAAAAUAGUGGGGGAAAAAGUGGUUUAAAGAUUAAGCUCAGUUCUUAGUUACUGAAAUUAGUUUAGCUCUAUUUUUUUCGCUGCUAAUUGGUAUGGAAAUAACCAGAAUCAAUGUAAUUAUUUUUUGGCGGGGAGGGGAGCUGCGGUCACCGUGUGGAGAUGGGAUUUGAUCUAAUUUUGUAAUGCUAGGCCUUCAUUCAUUUGCUAUUGCCUUUCUUUGUUGCUGGGUUUGAUCUAGAUGUUUUUGGUUUUUACCGUUUUCUUUUAACGAGGUGUGGUAUAUAUCAUCUGAAUUACACUCAUGAUUCAUUGAAUUCCAUGAUGCUAAAAUGUUGAUUACCAAUGCAUGGAAUUAUUGGAUAUGUAUGGUAGCUAUCUGUCAAUACUGUGCUCUAGAGGAGGUUUUUAUGCAUUCGCAUGUUUCCCUUCUAAUGGAAGAUUUCAGUUCUUAACGUUGAAGGACUAGUUGGAAUCUUUUUGAUUAACAUUGAAUUGGAUUUUAUUGAACUAAUUGGCUGAACCUUGUGAUGGCUUCUGUGGUAUGUGUGUCAGCUGAACAUUGACUUCUAGUUUUCAAAUGUGUAAAAAAAUUUGCAGCUAUCAUUUUGACGUAGGAUUAUCAGAUUGCAUAGACUUUGCUUUGCUGUAAAUUUGGUAAAGAAGGAUUGAGUUUGGGGUUUUCAAAUAAGUGGAUGAUAAAUAAAUAUGUUUGAAAGAUGUAGUACCAUAAAAAAUUAGUAUUGAAAUUGCAAGUUGGGACGCGAAUAUUAUCAUGUUAGAAAAAAUCAUUUAGAGCUGUGAAAAUUCCUUUAGAAUCUUCUCAUGUGAUGGUCAUUUUGAGGCUAGCUGUAUCACAGUUUAAGGGUUUUGAAUUGCAAGAAGAUAACAAGGUAAUAACAAGAGAAUUUAUUUAAUUGUUAGCAUUGUUUUCUAUCCUAUUGAUUAAGGUUAGUGCUUGGUAAUGUGUAGUUGCAUUAAGGUGGACAUUUUGUUUUUGAUAUGGAUUAUUAUGAAGUUUAGAAAAAGAACUAUCAAAUUAAAGCUUGUUCUGUGAUCUCCAGAAUGUGCACCAGGGUUAUCCAAAUGAAACAUUAGUUCGAUUUCUCAAAGCAAGAGAGUGGAAUGUUGCCAAGGCCCAUAAAAUGUUGGUUGAUUGUUUACAAUGGAGAAUACAAAAUGAGAUUGAUAACAUAUUGGCGAAACCAAUCAUUCCAGCUGAGUUAUAUAGAGCAAUUCGAGAUUCGCAGCUUGUAGGAUUAUCAGGUUACACUCGAGAGGGUCUUCCUGUCAUUGCCAUUGGUGUUGGGCUCAGCACAUUUGAUAAAGCAUCCGUAAGGAUUUUGUAACUUUAUUAUGUAUUUAUUGUAUUUAAAUUUGACAGUAAAAAAUUUGCAUUAACAUCACCUGGGUCCUUUUUCUUAUGUACAAGUGUGAAUGGAUUGGGACAGUGUAUUAGAUGCUUGUUGCAGAGUAAAUUUGUUUUGUGGUGUAUCUGAGAGACAGAGAGCGAUAGAGAGGGACUGUUACAUGGGAGUGCAAAUUGUAACAGGAUUUUCUUUUAGCUUGAGACUUGGAUGACUUGAUAAUUCGUAUGAUCGUAUCUGUUGAUCUAUGGACUGACAGUGAUCCUCUUUUUGUGUCUCCUUUUCCUUUAAGCGAUAUCUACUUAUUAUCUCUUCUUUUUUUUGUACGCUUUAG